RNAcentral lists this ribosomal RNA (254 nucleotides) under uncultured bacterium. RNAcentral describes it as "partial 16S ribosomal RNA". It matches the Rfam family "Bacterial small subunit ribosomal RNA", at positions 524 to 776 of the family's 1533-position model. The record is from RNAcentral.
CACGUAGGGGGCAAGCGUUGUCCGGAUUUAUUGGGCGUAAAGAGCUCGUAGGCGGCUCAGUAAGUCAGGUGCGAAACCUCCAGGCUCAACCUGGAGACGCCACCUGAUACUGCUGUGGCUAGAGUCCGGUAGGGGAGCGUGGAAUUCCUGGUGUAGCGGUGAAAUGCGCAGAUAUCAGGAGGAACACCAGUGGCGAAGGCGGCAUCCUGGACCGACACUGACGCUGAGGAGCGAAAGCCAGGGGAGCAAACGGG